GACGAACGCUGGCGGCGUGCUUAACACAUGCAAGUCGAACGGUAAGGCCCUUCGGGGUACACGAGUGGCGAACGGGUGAGUAACACGUGGGUGAUCUGCCCUGCACUUCGGGAUAAGCCUGGGAAACUGGGUCUAAUACCGGAUAGGACCACUGCCUGCAUGGGUGGUGGUGGAAAGCUUUUGCGGUGUGGGAUGGGCCCGCGGCCGAUCAGUGUGUUGGUGGGGUGAUGGCCUACCAAGGCGACGACGGGUAGCCGGCCUGAGAGGGUGACCGGCCACACUGGGACUGAGAUACGGCCCAGACUCCUACGGGAGGCAGCAGUGGGGAAUAUUGCACAAUGGGCGCAAGCCUGAUGCAGCGACGCCGCGUGAGGGAUGACGGCCUUCGGGUUGUAAACCUCUUUCAGCACCGACGAAGCGCAAGUGACGGUAGGUGCAGAAGAAGGACCGGCCAACUACGUGCCAGCCGCCGCCGUAA
Molecule: ribosomal RNA, 478 nt
Filed under: uncultured bacterium
Lineage: Bacteria
Description: partial 16S ribosomal RNA
Rfam family: Bacterial small subunit ribosomal RNA
Source: RNAcentral